Molecule: long non-coding RNA, 2057 nt
Filed under: Mytilus galloprovincialis (Mediterranean mussel)
Lineage: Eukaryota; Metazoa; Mollusca; Bivalvia; Mytilida; Mytilidae
Source: RNAcentral
CAGUAAUGCCAUUCUUUAUGGUCAACAAACAACAUCUAAAUUAAAUAUGCUUCCAUAUGUACAGUCGUUGAACUAAAUAUGAUAACAUGUUUACAGUCAAAAAGGUUAAAACAUAAAUCUUACAAACAAAGUAAAAUAGUUACAUUUGCAAUUUCAACUUUACAUCUUUUUAACAGGAUAUUAAUCCAACAUUCAUUUCUUAUAAAAAUAUCAAAAAGAGGCACCUAAAAGCCUAAAACACUCAUCUAGUAAAAAUAUGCCAGUCUGAUAAUUAGUUUCACCUUUACUGCAAUCAGUUAUUCUUGCUUAUUGUAAAUCUUAUUUCGAGAUGGGUUUGUAAAUCUCGUAUUAAAAAUCUCUUUUUUUAUAAGUAUAGUUCAUACUUAUCUAUUUAUGUUUUUGAGAUACUUUUAGAUAUUUUUUAUACGAAAAAUGCAAAUAAAUGGUUUGGCAUCUUAGAAAUUUGGACCAUGUUGAUUCAGUUGUGGAUCUUAUCUUGCUGAAAUUUUAUGCUUAUCACACAGUAGUGUAGAGUACUGCUCCUAUUAACAUGGGUAAAAAAAAUCUUACAACGGCGAAAACUAUUAACAGUCAAUCAACAAGGUCAACCAUGCUGAAUUAUUUGUGAAUUUUAUUUUGCUUAACAUCUUUGAUAAUUCCAACAUUGCUCUAUUUUUAAUGGUUUCUGCAAAAAAUGGAUAAAAUGGGUAAACAAAAAUUUCAAAUGCAAAAAAAAUUAAAUUACAAAAACACUGAACUCCCUACUUUAAAGUUCAAUCAACAAUUUUGAUAACUGUUUUAUUGUUUUAUUGUCCUGGUUAUUGUUACUGUCUUAAAGUUUUAUCUAUUUAAAAUAAUAGCAAAAAACUUUAAAAAAAAAAAAGUUUAAAUGUACAUUUCAGGGUCAAUAACUCUGAAAUGAAUUGUUUGAUAUAUAUCUGAAAAUUACUUAGGCAAAAGACUUUGACUUGCUGAUCAAUUCUAGCCACAUACUGCUUUAGUUUAAGAGAAACAGGCCAAAAACUGCAUGUUUAUUAUCAGCAACAGUGUCCAUGUUUAUUGAUGGAAGGAAGUCAAUUUACAAUUUUAAACAAGAUUUUCUUUGGAAUAUUAAGGUAGUUUGGUAACAUUAGUUCCAGUAGUUUCCAUGGAGAAGAUCUUUAUGACAGAUGACUGAUGCCAAGUGAUGUCAAAGGUCAGGUGAGCUAAAAACUGUACUGCAAGGUUACCAUUGAUAAGGUUAAAUGGUAAAAAUAAAUUUACAUGGUGACAUUUAAAACUUCUAAUUCAAAGUUAUUCCAUUGGUUGUAAAUAAUUAAAAUUUGAUCACAGUUUUAUUACAUCUCUGAUUCUCAUAUUUAAUUAAGUGACAAAUGUUUAUCCAGAUUUGCAAUUCUUUUUUUACCAAUUUACUUUAAAAGUCCAAAUAGUUUUGACGUUUUUUUAACUGACAUUGUAAAAUCCAAUUCUAUUGAAUAGCAAAAUUUAAAAAUCAACUAUAUGAAUUCAAAUAGUAUUAACGUUUAUAUAUCUUAUACAGUGCACAGUUAGAAUAGAUCCAUGUUAAGUGUAGAUAACUUUUAAUCAUAUUUUAGUUUGUAACUUCAGCUUAUUUUAACAUCUUAAUAGCAUUUUAAUAGCACAUAUUUUUUUCCAAAUGAAUGCAAAUUAAAUUGAUAGGUUCAAUGGUAAAAAUAAAUUCAAAUCAUGACAUUUCAAACUUCUAAUUUAAAGUUAUUCCAUUAAUAGUUGUAAAUAAUUAAAAUUUGAUCACAGCUUUAUAACAUCUAACAAUUUAAUUAAUACACAAAUGCAACAUCAAACUUAUACACCCAAUCAUAUUAAAUAAUUGUUUCAUUUUUGUCUGUACUAUUUAUAAAGUUUGGUCUGCCAGCACUUUUAUGCCUAUUAAUAAGUGUCCUAAGUCCAGAAGGCAAUGUUUAGCCAUAUUCAGGACAAGAACAUGCAACUGUAAAAGGAGUAUAGAGCUACUUUAUAAAACAACCUAUCAAUAUAAAACAUUAACACUUUGCCGUCAGCAUUUACUGCAUUGUUAU